CUCCCAGAUUUGGGAGAAGCAAAAAAAAAAAUCUUCCAAUUUUUUUUGUUGCUUUAACAAAUAUCAAAUUCCCUUUUAUCGGGUCUUUUAUAUAUAUAUGGCAAUUGUGCCAUCAAGUGUUUGUAUUUGGUCAUGUGAGUGCUUAAUAAUAAGAUUGUAAGAAAGAAAUAUGAGUUGGGUUUGUGUCUGUUAAUACCCUAAAGCCAAACAUGUGGCUUUUCAAUUUCUGUAGUGAAAAUAUGUUUGUAUCAUUAUACUGUUUAUUCAAUGAGACUCCCAGC
RNAcentral lists this unclassified non-coding RNA (281 nucleotides) under Hevea brasiliensis (rubber tree). The record is from RNAcentral. Lineage: Eukaryota; Viridiplantae; Streptophyta; Magnoliopsida; Malpighiales; Euphorbiaceae.